CCUGGCACAGAGUUACUGGGACUAUGUGGUGACAGGUUUACUCGUGAUGUGGCUUGUCUGUGAUAUGGUGCAUUCCAUGAGAUCAUAUUUUACUGCGAUGUUUUACUGUUCUACUCACUGGGCUAUAGAGCUCAUCCCACUCCCUUAACCCCAGUUUUGCAGGUUCAGUGUACAGUGUACAGGGACAGUCCAGCAGAGUACAG
RNAcentral lists this long non-coding RNA (203 nucleotides) under Manihot esculenta (cassava). RNAcentral describes it as "long non-coding RNA (MESC_LNC004476)". The record is from RNAcentral. Lineage: Eukaryota; Viridiplantae; Streptophyta; Magnoliopsida; Malpighiales; Euphorbiaceae.